GAUGAACGCUGGCGGCGUGCCUAAUACAUGCAAGUCGAGCGAACAGACGAGAAGCUUGCUUCUCUGAUGUUAGCGGCGAACGGGUGAGUAACACGUGGGUAACCUACCUAUAAGACUGGGAUAACUCCGGGAAACCGGGGCUAAUACCGGAUGAUAUUUUGAACCGCAUGGUUCGAUAGUGAAAGACGGUUUCGGCUGUCACUUAUAGAUGGACCCGCGCCGUAUUAGCUAGUUGGUAAGGUAACGGCUUACCAAGGCGACGAUACGUAGCCGACCUGAGAGGGUGAUCGGCCACACUGGAACUGAGACACGGUCCAGACUCCUACGGGAGGCAGCAGUAGGGAAUCUUCCGCAAUGGGCGAAAGCCUGACGGAGCAACGCCGCGUGAGUGAUGAAGGUCUUCGGAUCGUAAAACUCUGUUGUUAGGGAAGAACAAAUUUGUUAGUAACUGAACAAGUCUUGACGGUACCUAACCAGAAAGCCACGGCUAACUACGUGCCAGCCGCCGCCGUAA
This 514-nucleotide ribosomal RNA is filed under the name uncultured bacterium. RNAcentral's name for it is "partial 16S ribosomal RNA". It matches the Rfam family "Bacterial small subunit ribosomal RNA", at positions 28 to 523 of the family's 1533-position model. The record is from RNAcentral.